CCUACGGGAGGCAGCAGUGAGGAAUAUUGGUCAAUGGACGAGAGUCUGAACCAGCCAAGUAGCGUGAAGGAUGACUGCCCUAUGGGUUGUAAACUUCUUUUAUAUGGGAAUAAAAUGUUCCACGUGUGGGAUUUUGUAUGUACCAUAUGAAUAAGGAUCGGCUAACUCCGUGCCAGCAGCCGCGGUAAUACGGAGGAUCCGAGCGUUAUCCGGAUUUAUUGGGUUUAAAGGGAGCGUAGGUGGAUUGUUAAGUCAGUUGUGAAAGUUUGCGGCUCAACCGUAAAAUUGCAGUUGAAACUGGCAGUCUUGAGUACAGUAGAGGUGGGCGGAAUUCGUGGUGUAGCGGUGAAAUGCUUAGAUAUCACGAAGAACUCCGAUUGCGAAGGCAGUUCACUGGACUGCAACUGACACUGAGGCUCGAAAGUGUGAGUAUCAAACAGGAUUAGAUACCCCUGUAGUC
RNAcentral lists this ribosomal RNA (460 nucleotides) under uncultured bacterium. Its description in RNAcentral is "partial 16S ribosomal RNA". It matches the Rfam family "Bacterial small subunit ribosomal RNA", at positions 338 to 795 of the family's 1533-position model. The record is from RNAcentral.